This 406-nucleotide ribosomal RNA is filed under the name uncultured bacterium. RNAcentral describes it as "partial 16S ribosomal RNA". It matches the Rfam family "Bacterial small subunit ribosomal RNA", at positions 30 to 526 of the family's 1533-position model. The record is from RNAcentral.
AUUGAACGCUGGCGGCAGGCCUAACACAUGCAAGUCGAACGAGUGGCGGACGGGUGAGUAAUGUCUGGGAAACUGCCCGAUGGAGGGGGAUAACUACUGGAAACGGUAGCUAAUACCGCAUACCAUCGGAUGUGCCCAGCUGGGAUUAGCUAUUCGGUGGGGUAACGGCUCACCUAGGCGACGAUCCCUAGCUGGUCUGAGAGGAUGACCAGCCACACGGGAACUGAGACACGGUCCAGACUCCUACGGGAGGCAGCAGUGGGGAAUAUUGCACAAUGGGCGAAAGCCUGAUGCAGCAAUGCCGCGUGUGUGAAGAAGGUCUUCGGAGUGUAAAGCACUUUAAGUUGGGAGGCGUUACCAACAGAAUAAGCACCGGCUAACUUCGUGCCAGCAGCCGCGGUAAUUC